This 581-nucleotide long non-coding RNA is filed under the name Bos taurus (domestic cattle). RNAcentral describes it as "long non-coding RNA NONBTAT008945". The record is from RNAcentral. Lineage: Eukaryota; Metazoa; Chordata; Mammalia; Artiodactyla; Bovidae.
ACUGAAUCCAAAGGAAACUCUAGAUUUUAGAUUUAUGUGUAAAGUACGAGAUGUUAAGAUUCUGGGGGCAGCACUUGUUUUUUGAGUGCCCUGAAACUUACGUAUUUACCUUCUGGCACUUUACAUUCACCCUGGAAGUCUCCUUUGUUUCAUUGAAAUAGGCAAUAUGAAUCUGGUAGGUUUCUCUGUUUGGUCCUAAACUGAAGAGAGUGACUCUUUCCUGCCUCAGGCAUGGUUGACAAUCAAAACAUCCUCAUUUCUGUAUCACUUCCUUGGGGACUGGACCCGUGACAACUCAUCUCUUUCUUCCUGGAGACUCGAGGGUUUGUUGAAGGGGUGGCUGGACUCUUUGUUUUAGAUGGAUGAACUUUCUUCUCUGAAAUGAUUUGUCUUGCGAGAGGGGGUCCACAAUCUUCUCAGCAUAUUCAGUUGAAUCGUUUUGAACCUAGAAAUACAAAGUGUGUUGGCUUCAAACAGAUGGAGAAUCCAGGCUGCAAGUCUACCGGGCGUCUUCUCCCUUGAGAUAAGCCCCUAGUUACUUGUACCACGUGUAAGUCCCAUGGUCAUGUGAUUGACGUUGA